Molecule: long non-coding RNA, 827 nt
Filed under: Carica papaya (papaya)
Lineage: Eukaryota; Viridiplantae; Streptophyta; Magnoliopsida; Brassicales; Caricaceae
Description: long non-coding RNA (CPAP_LNC013937)
Source: RNAcentral
UCCGAAACCGCUGAGAAGAGGCAGGCAAUUGCUUUUGGUUUCUUGGCCUUCUCUUCCUCGUGUCUUUUAAUCUGGUUCAAUGUAGUAGUUUCUUGUAGUGAGGUUGGUUUGCUAUCGUGUAUAAUAACAUCCCAUAAACCCAGAGCUUUAAGGUGAGCUCGCAUCUUUAUUGCCCACAUAUGGUAAUUUUCUCCGCUGAAUGGCGGUGCAGGGGUAGUUCCUAAGGUAGCCAUCAGGUUUGAGAAAUUUUUGAUUCACUUGAUAUGUAGGAGAACCUGCCUCUGAUACCACUUGUUGGAUCGGAUGAGUAAUAGUUUCAAAAGAAGCUGAGACAGUGAGCAAAUUUAGAGAGAGAGAACUGCAAAACAGAGUCCAAGGCUACAGCACCCUCUGUUUCUUUAAUUUCAGAAGAAUUUUGUUUCUUUUUGUUUUUUUUUUUUUUUGAAGAGAGGAAAAAACUAACUUUAUUGAAUUGCACGAUUACAUUUAUAAGCACGGAGUUGUGCUUGAUUACACCAAAGAUGACCCGAUAAAAUAAAACUCAGAAAUUCAUGUUAACACGCUGCAUGGCAGCUGCGCAGGCUGCGGUGAGGCACUUUCUUCACAACCUACUUUUGAAUUUAAAUUUGAAUUAAGUAAAUAACGAAGGCCUGACAACCUACCAGUAACUUCCUGGAGUUCGAGUCUGAGGACCACACCAGACACCUUCUUGGUUGUUUGCAGAUGUUUCAGCCUCAUAACUGCUCUCACCGCGAUUCUCUGCAUUGUCUGCAUGCAUAUUAUCUGUGUCUGAGUAUGUUUAUAGGUGAAUGCAUGGGUAUGUGUUU